Lactuca sativa (garden lettuce) is the source of this 688-nucleotide long non-coding RNA. RefSeq lists it as uncharacterized. The record is from RefSeq and is a predicted model, not a curated record. Lineage: Eukaryota; Viridiplantae; Streptophyta; Magnoliopsida; Asterales; Asteraceae.
AUUGCGUUUCCUUAUUCUCUGAUAAAAUCGAACUCAAUUCCUUCUAGAUUUGUUGUUUUCCAGAUCGUCUACAUCUUGCUUCACAUAAUGAUUUCAAUGGGAAAAACGAUUUCUUUCUCCGAAAAAACGAUAUAACAAAUCGGAAUCCACAGAAAUCAGUUCAUCCUCUACAUAUCUUCUUCCAUCAUCGCUUGUUUCCUGCUUCAGAAAACUAUUUCAAAAAAAAAAAAGACGAUUUCAAAGAAAGAAACGACUUCUUUCACAGAAAAAACGAAAUAACAAAUGCGAAUUCACAUGAAGAAAUUUCAAGUCAUAGAAAUCGGCUACUGCAUCCCCUUUUUUUUAGGUUUGGGAGAUUUACUUGAAGUCUGAUUCGUGCAGUGGAAGAUUGUUGAUGUUUAUCAGGUGAUUUUGGUGUAACUACUACAUCUUUUGGAGUCUGAUUGGAGACUUGGACAGUUUUACCCUAGAGAUUGUUGAUUUGAUUUUUAAUAAUUGUUGCAUUUGGUUUACUAUUUGGUUGUCGGGAUUUUUUAAGGGCCUUAACUUUUUCUGCUUUCUUUUGUUGGUGGACCUUGGGUUGUGGUUUGUUGGUUGUUUCUGGUUGCUAAUGAGUUUGAUUGGUACAUUUGAAAUGGUUGAAACAUUUGAUGUGGAUUUGUUGGAUCUUUUAGUAUUUUUCUCUUUA